Molecule: long non-coding RNA, 2536 nt
Filed under: Malus domestica (apple)
Lineage: Eukaryota; Viridiplantae; Streptophyta; Magnoliopsida; Rosales; Rosaceae
Description: long non-coding RNA (MDOM_LNC008104)
Source: RNAcentral
UUGUGUAUGUUGGUUGAGAGUGCACGCUUAAUUUACAUGCAUGAAUUUGAUGCUAGAAUAUAAGUGAAUUUCACCUAAUCGUUAUGAAACUUAUAUUCACAAGUAGUAAAGGUUGCUAGUCACAAUCACGUUAAGUAAAAUUCUUGGCAUAAGUUUCAUGCAAAUCAUAGUAACGAGUGUCCCGUCAAUGCUUAUGUUUUUCAUAAAACUUAAUGAUUCUUGCUUGUAUCUCUAUUAUGCAACUCAUGUAGGGAACUUGUAAGGAAUGUUUUGGGUUGUCGUAUGCAAUCAUCCAACCCAAUAACUUGUGGAAAAACUGAGGGUUAAUUAGUGCAAUUCACGGUUAAUUUGGGGCGUUGAGUAUUCAUAGCUUAUCGAAAAGCAACUGGAAAUCAUUUUGUAUGCAAGUAUAAUAUGUGUGGAGAAGAACCAUCUAGCUAGUCCGUCAUUUAUCAUUUUACCUUAAUUUUAUGUUUUUGUCAAUUCUGUAAUUUAAUUAAGUUUAAUUUACAUUUCAUCAAAACCAAACACCCAUCCAUUAUUAAAUUAUAUUAUUUAGUUAGUUUUCUUUAUUGUUAGUCUUUUAAUUUAAUUUCCGUCCAUUUCAGUUCCUAGUGUUUAAUUUAAUUGUUUUCAUUAUUUUGAAUCAUUUUAAGUGUGUUUCGAGUUAUUAGAGUUUUUCGCCUAGUUUUGUGUCCUUGAGUCUUAUUUAAUAUUUUUAAAUUAAUUUAGAAUAGAUUAGCAAUCCCUCCUAAUCCCCGGCCUAGAACGAUACCCUACUUACAACUAUACUACAACUGUCAAAAAGAGGGUUUAAUUUGUGUGUCAAGUAAUUCUCGCACCAAAAUAAUAGAGAGUGAAUAGAAAGCUUCCCUGUUUGGGGUUUUUGGCCCGUGCCCCCAUUGUGGCUUGGGUGGAAACCAUGACUUCUCGAUACGGCUGUUUUGUACGAAUUCCCACAGACGGUGCCAACUGUUGGAGCGGAAAAUUUCAGGUACUCCAAUUCUCCACCAAUAAGUAAUUUUGAACCCGUUGAGAAGCCUUGGACAUCAUCUUCGCUUGUCAACAAUGAGAGCGGGGGGACCUGCAAGAAAACACUCUGACGCCCAAGUCAGUAUUUGUUUAGAAUGCUUAUAAAAUAUAGAACGAUCUCCUACCUCCCUUUUCUCUCCCCUUUUCUGGUGGGAUUAUUAGCCUUUUAUAGGCAUUUAAGUCUUGGGCUCCAAGUCCCACUUUCCUUCUAUUUCUCCAUGUUCCACAUUCCACAUUCCAUGAAGUAUCUGAUUGUGCUCCUUUAUUUUAGCCCCACUCCUCAUGUUUAGCAUGCUAGUGGCUUGUUUAGUGGAGGAGUAAUUUUUGGCUCCAAAGUGUGGAUGGGUGUUGUUCAUGACAACUUCUGGACCGACAGGCACAACUCUGAAUUUAGGACAAUCUUUGACAAUAUUCCAACAUUCCCACCGGUUGAAUGAUUUAUUUUUGUUUUUGGUUUUGGCACCAUACCAAGUUUGUGCUUGAAUUAGCUACACAAUGGGGGAGAAGAAAUAAUUAUAAUCAAAGUAGGUAACAAAUAAAUAAUACAAACAAAUAAUUAUAAUUAAAGUAGGUAACAAAUAAAUAAUACAAACAAAAAAUUAUAAUCAAUGUAUGUAACAAAUAAAUAAUACAAACAAAAAAUUAUAAUCAAAGUAUGUAACAAAUAAAAAAUACAAACAAAUAAUUAUAAUUAAAGUAGGUAACAAAUAAAUAAUACAAACAAAUAAUUACAAUGUAAAUUUGGGUAUAGUACAAACAAAUAAAUAAUAUAUUGUUACAUGAUCCGUGUAAUUUUCCCCACUUCGAAGAUUACUACUAGCUUGUGCCAAGGCGUCUCUCCAAAUACUAAAUGAUUGGCUAAGUAAUUUCCAACGACUAGACAUCAAUUCUUUGGUUCUACUUCCACCCAUUUUUUCAAGAUAACUGGUAUGAAUAAGACUCCACAUUUCUCACAACUGCAUCUCAUUACCCGUACGCGAACUAUGAGUAAUUUCAACCCAGCUAGUACACAAUGCAACAUCUUCAAGAAGCGUCCAAUUCGUAUCUGCAUCAGUAAUCAUUUUGUUGAAAAAAAUUGGAUUGAAACUUUGAGAGAAAGAUAGGAAUGUGAUUGAAAGUAGUUGAGAAAAUAUGAUAUUGUGGUGUAAGGUAGAUGAUAAUGAGAAGGUAUUUAUAGAAAAGUAUAAACAUUUUUGUUUUUAAAUUCAGAUAUUUUUUCUGAUUUUUUACAAUUUUUUUAAUUUUUUUAUUCAAAUAAUUAAUCUAUGCCGUUGGAUUUUAAAAAAAUUGAAUUCCAACACUUCAGAUUGUGCCACGUGUCACAACGGUAACUUUUCUUAAUUUUAAAACUAUUUUUUCUUUUAUUUAUUUAUUUAUUUAUUUAUAAAGCAUAUUAAUAUCAACCGUUUAUCUAACGGUUGAUAUUAAAUAAGAUUUUUUUUAUUUUUUUUACCGUUGAGAUCGAACGGUCCAAGUUAAAUAGCCGUUGAGAUCGAACGGACCG